GUCUGGGGUAGCCUAGUGGACAUGGCAUCUGCCCGGUAAGCGGAACAGUGUGGGUUCUAUUCCCAUUCCCUGGACA
RNAcentral lists this transfer RNA (76 nucleotides) under Cordylochernes scorpioides. Its description in RNAcentral is "tRNA-Thr". It matches the Rfam family "tRNA". Rfam says of the family: Transfer RNA (tRNA) molecules are approximately 80 nucleotides in length. Their secondary structure includes four short double-helical elements and three loops (D, anti-codon, and T loops). The record is from RNAcentral. Lineage: Eukaryota; Metazoa; Arthropoda; Arachnida; Pseudoscorpiones; Chernetidae.